Aegilops tauschii subsp. strangulata is the source of this 667-nucleotide long non-coding RNA. RefSeq lists it as uncharacterized. The record is from RefSeq and is a predicted model, not a curated record. NCBI's taxonomy places the organism in Eukaryota, Viridiplantae, Streptophyta, Magnoliopsida, Poales, Poaceae.
CACGCAUCAAUCUCCUCUUGACAGAACGUGGUACACUAGUGAUCAACUAAUUAAGCUGUCCUUUGCCUAGCUGGCUAGUGACUCAGUGAGGAUCAAUGGCAUCCCAGCUGGUCUCACUCAUGAAGCGAUUAUGGAGCCAUCUUCCCUCUUCUCUUAGCAGUUCCAAGAGCGACCCUCCGCAGCAGAUUCCUGAUCCCAACGGUGAUCCUCCAGCCGCUCAAGCCGGGGACACUCCCGCUCUUCAAGAUCCUUUGUCGAAGAAUCAUUCUCCCAAUGGCGAGAUUUACGGAAACCAGAUGCUUACCAGUUCCAAGAGCUACCCUCCACACAAGAUUCAUGAUCCUCCCCAUAAAUUAAUGGCGUCUAUGCGCUCCCGACUGCAACUCAUGCCGCGGCAGCUAGGAAAGGGAAGCGACUGUGGAGCUGUCUUGCCUUCCUUAACUACAGGAGCAACCCUGGAGCACCCGAUUUAUGAACCCCGGCAUCCUUCGCAAAAACGGAAGUCUUUGCAAAAAUUGUACAGCCUGUAAGAUCCUGAUAUAUAGUGGGCUAGAAUAAAGAUAUCGGCUGUUAUGUACUAUUGUUGUCAUAUUGUUUUUCCUUUCGAUGCAACAUGUCAUGUAUAGUAUUGAUUUUCUAUACUUCUCCAAUCAAAUUGAUCAAGAAA